RNAcentral lists this long non-coding RNA (1004 nucleotides) under Capsicum annuum. Its description in RNAcentral is "long non-coding RNA (CANN_LNC022399)". The record is from RNAcentral. Lineage: Eukaryota; Viridiplantae; Streptophyta; Magnoliopsida; Solanales; Solanaceae.
AGGAGUGCAUGUAAUUUUUUAACAGUUCUAUUCUAAUGAUCAGCCCUCACGCAUGCUCCUAGGGUCAUGAAAAGUAGGCGGCCCAUCGGCUCGUCUUUGUUUGUUGUGUUAAGAACAGGCAACAGGCAACAGGCGGUACCCACAACAUCCCGUAUUAAUAGGGUCUUGAAAAGAGCAGCACCUCAAAAGGUACGAUGUAGAAUAUAUUUUUUUCGUUUUAUAUUAGUUGGUCUUAUUGACUUAGCACACUCUUUAAAAAAAUAUUAAUUAGAGGUUUAUUUUAUUAAAUUAAUUUUAUUAAUUGUAUUUUGAAAAUAUAAAUUUGAGUAAAUACAUUUUAUUUAAUUAUUUAAUAUUAGGAUAGUAUUGAAAAAAACAUAACAAAAUAUUUUUAAAAAGAAGACCAACUAACAUGAAACAAGAAAAUAGAUUGUUUUUAUGGCUGAAACACGUGACCAUAAGUUGCACGAAAACCACACCAGCACAACGUUACCAUUGCUUCAAUCGUCCCUCCAAAUGCACGUUCAGACAAGUGAAAUGCAAUCAAUGGAAGCUUUGACCACAGAUUGUGCGUGGUAAGAUGCACCACCAGAAGUGCAACUUAGGGCCUUAAUCAACGACCACAAUAUCCCUUUCCCUUUGCCAUAUUUAUAAUCACUAAUUCCAGCUCCAACUUUGGAAGAGGGAGCUGAAGAAGCAACUUUACGAUUUUGUCGAUUUUUGAGGUCCUUCAAUUCCAUCUCAUGAGUUGGACAAUAUCUCAACCACUUUCUACUUGAGGACGAAAACGAUCGUUUCUCCGGCCUCUUUGGCAACGUGGAAUUUCCACAAGGAAUAAGUUUCCCACAGAAGAGGAUGUUUUCUGGAAGAACUGCAUUAUUCUUAUUACUAAUGAACUCAAACACGUCUUCAUCUGACGAUAAGCUACUUGAACAAGUAGUGCUCUUACAGUCAUAAUACUUAUUCUCCCAUUCUUCCGAAUCAUUAUCAUCAUUAGUGANNNN